GACAACAAGAGAAACAUCCAGAAGAUAGAGGAGAGGGGUUGAAUACAUUGUGCCAAUGAUAGAAAGCAAGCCUACCAGCUGGAGAACAAAUAAGCUGAUAAGACUCCUGGAAAAAAAUAACAAAUGCAAGAAAACAUCUGGAGAUGAGGUGCACACAAAGCCAAGCAUUCAUGUCGAUCAAGCCCCUGGAUGGCAAUUGAGCCUCUGAUCCUCCUUUUAACUUGAUGUUUUGAUGACCUGAAGACAUCCAAAGAAGAAAGUGCUGUUCCAGGAAAAGAACUGGACCAAAUUCAAAAGUUAAUGCUGGAGAAGAAACAAGGAAGUUGAAGUAAACAACAUUAAGGAAGGAAAGACUUCACUGAAAAACCACAGUGGUCAUAAAAGCAUCCAGACAGCUACAAUCUUACUUGGGACCAUGCUACAGUACUGUGAAAAAAAAAUAUUUCAUUAAAAGCUCUACAAAAGAUACUUGCUAACAAUAAGAAAGAACAUAUUUUCACAGAAUUGGAGAAUUCUGCAGAGUAUAAAACACCUUUGCUAAGCUAGGACAAUAUUUUCCCUUUUUAUUCAGAUGUGAAGCUUCCUUCUGCCAAAAAGAAAAUCAGUAUGUAUUACACUCAAGUGGAGGCUUAAUCUUUCCAGCCCUUGGUAAGCACUGAAGGACUCCAGGCAUGCAUCACACAGACCUAGAAUUUUCGUCAUUUUGGCCUCAGAACAAGGCUGAUUUGAUUUUACAGGCAAAGAACAGACAGCAACAUCAAAUCCUCCAUAAGGCAUUCAUUAACAUUAAAAAAAAAAUUGCAGUGUUGCCUGCUAAAGAUAUGAAAUACAGACAUAUGUAAAACAACAGAUUUUAGCAUUAGAAAGAAAAUUUCAGUUCUUGAAAGGACUUAGCAGAGAUUUUUAAUCUCCUUUGGUGACAUGGAUCCUUUUUGGAUUAUACUGUUUUCCAAAUUGAUAAAAUAGGUAAGAUUUCAAAAGGAAACCAAUUAUAUUGAAAUAGAUAUAAAAAUGUUUAAAAACAUGUUUACACACCUGUGUUAAGAACUUCCAUAUAAGUGAUUUUAUCCAACAAAAUCUAUUUGCAUGUUCGACUAAAUUUUGAUUCUCUAGUCUUACAAUAUUUUCCUAUCCUGUUUCAGGUAUAACAUCACUUGAUGAUGUUAAGACUUUUGCCCAGACUGAAGGGAGCUCAUUUUACACCUAAACCAAAUUACACUCCAGUUAUAAUCCAGGCUUCCAGUCUGCCAGGGCUUCCGGUGAAGUGGGAGGGUGGCAGGGUUCACUUACGGAACACCUUAUUUUACCGCUGCUAUAGAGCAAAGGAAACCUCUCUGAGAAAGGGAACCAUUUACAGAACCAAAUGACAGCAUGUUAUUAACAUUAAAAAGUCCAGAGGAAACACUGACAACUUUAACACAACCCAUGCACUUCAUUACAAAGAAAAAGGGCACCCAAAAGAAAAGAUCCCUGUACUUUAAGUCAAUAAUGAGACAUGACCCUGACAGAACUCACAAGUCAGACAGAUAAAAGUUUAAAUUGAAAAUAUUCAUCUGGCUGUUAAACUGAUGCCUUUUUCUGUAAAUGCUUUAUACUAAGCUCAUUAUUAAAGAACAGUUUGCAACAAAGUCUAGCAGAAAGAACAUUAGGACUUCCUGGAAGGCAACAGGCCUGGGUUCUGUCCCAGUGGACUUGUGGAGGGGCCCACAGAUCACUUGACCUCUUGGUCUCAGCCUUCGUAUCAUCUGUGAAAUGAGAAUAAUACUUGCCAUCUGCAACACAAAGGACCUGUAAAAGCCUAAAUCAAAGUCCUUAGGAAGUACUUUGAAUUCUUCAGAAGGUUUUAUAGGUUUUAUAAAUUACAAAGCCUUAUGUCAAAGAAUGCCAUUCAUAAAUUCCUGUUACAACAAUAGGAAUUUCACAUGUAGGAUAAUAUUUGGGCCCUAGCAUUGAACGUUCAUUUUCACUUAAAUAAUAGAAUUUUCCCUCUACCUAGAUGCCAUAAAUAGGUAGCCUUGACAAAGACUGACAUCUCCUAUUCAGAUCACUACAUAGUACUUCUGAUGUUCUUUCUUACCUUAAUCAGCUGAAUAUUAUUAUUAAUUUCUUACCUUAUUCAGCUGAAAUUCAGAUGAAGUUUCCUUCAUCUAAAAGUGAAAAGUACCUCUCUCUUAGGAAUUGCUAGAAAGGAGUCUUCUUGAAAGAAAGGACUGCAUUCUCAUGAAGGAUUUAUGAAUCAGUGUGUUUUGACCUCUUGUUCAGGCCUAGGUCAAAUCUAAGUCAACUAAAUACAGCUGUCAAAAUCCAACAGUUCUAACCUAAUACAUUGUUGGUGGAGCUGUGAAAUGAUCCAGCCAUUUUGGAGAACAAUUUGAAACUA
This is a long non-coding RNA of Phascolarctos cinereus (koala), 2380 nucleotides long. RefSeq lists it as uncharacterized. Lineage: Eukaryota; Metazoa; Chordata; Mammalia; Diprotodontia; Phascolarctidae. The record is from RefSeq and is a predicted model, not a curated record.